This is a long non-coding RNA of Acanthopagrus latus (yellowfin seabream), 1641 nucleotides long. RefSeq lists it as uncharacterized. The record is from RefSeq and is a predicted model, not a curated record. The transcript has 2 exons. NCBI's taxonomy places the organism in Eukaryota, Metazoa, Chordata, Actinopteri, Spariformes, Sparidae.
AGUGAAUGAGUUUGACGGCUGCUCAACAGACAAGUCAUGGCAUCAGGCUGCAGUUUUUGUUGUACAAUACAAACACAUAAAGAAUAUAAAGAGACAGAGUAACACUUUAGUUUCAGUCAGAAACUGACUGAACUGAACUUUAAGAGGCAAACAUUUUCCUUGAAAGUUUCCUUAACUCAACAAAUCCAUUAUUUCAUUUGUUUUGGCAGUCUUAUUCUUGUUUUUUUUGUUUGUUUUUUUUUUAAAUUCACAAUCAGACAGUUUUAUUUUCCCUGUAAAAGCUGAACCAAUCACGAUGCGAUUAUCCACACCACAUAUUUGAACCUUUAGAUCACGUCUCUGUUACACUUCAUUUGGAAAUCGCAGGAAAUAAGGUCUGAUUCACAGAGCUGGUGCGACUAAAUGUCACGUCUCGUUCGGAAGCGUCACCUGCGCCAGACACGCGAAAAGGUCAGCGAAGAUACUGGAAUAAAGAAGAAGAGUUAAACUUCACGUAUUUGACUCUUUUUGUGUCGAAUCACAAAUUGUUUAUUCGUGUAAAAAAAAUGUGAUGAAGAUCAACCCGACUGCCAGACAUUAAUACACCACGACCCCGCGCAAGAAAAGGGACAACUAAUGCUAAAUACCGGUGUUACGCCUUCGAUUUGAAUGCGGCCGAGUGGGAGCGAGAGGCGUAUGCAAAGCGCUAAAAAGGAUGAGACCAGGUGCCGAGAUGAGCUCCGAGCUGACCUCAAAAACUGAAUCAAAGGAGUGUGAGUGAGUGAGAGGGAGAGAGUGGGGGAGGAGAAGAGGAGGAGGCAACGAGAUGUGGAGAGGAGGGAGAUUUGUGUGCGUGUGUGUUGCAUUUUUCUCCAGUCAUAUUGGGGGAAUGAAAUAGGUCAUACAAGCAAAAGAGCAUCAAACAUGCACCUGCUUUAGGAGGUGUUAGAGUGACAUUUUCUCUGUUUUCAAAAUGUCAACUUUCCUUUUUAAGGAAUGCGCUGUUAUAUAUAACGCACAGCGCGAAACAUAAUUGUUGGAUUUGACUUAUUUGUAAUGCAUCUUGUAGAGAAACUGCAGAUAUUACUCUUUAUUUUGAAUCAUCUUCUUUCCAGCAGCAUCAAUACAUCAAACAUAUAAUAUGUGUUAAUUCUUCUUUACAAUGUCUGAAAGUGGCUCAAUCUUUGUUAUGUAUCAGUUAACUCAAGGUAACAGCGCAAUUAAUAAGCAAACAAGACUACAUUGAAUAAACCUUCAAAACAUUUCCUGAUCUCUGAAUAAAGUUAAUUUCCUCCUCCAGCUCCUCCAGGCAGUAGUCAGCAAAACCAAACAAAAACACCUGAAAAUGGAGGUCAGCUUUGCGGAUCACCGCUGCAGUCAGGUUGAUAAACAGGAGUGAAGUCCCCCUAGUGGCAGAAGUUACAUAUUGUAUGUUUAAUUACAAUAUUAAAUUUCAUGUUACAUGUUUUCUGUGUAAAAUGUCGUCUGAGUUUGACCAAACAGCUUAUUUUUAUACAGUACAGAGGUAUUAAAAGAUCAUAGAUCAGCGAUCGAAGCUUCAUGCUUUUAUCUCAUGUUGCUGUUUGAUCCAGCUGUACUGAAGUAUCCACGUCACAUAAUCUCUCUGCUGAUAAUCACUAAAGCAACAUCUGGAGUAACUUG